This is a long non-coding RNA of Peromyscus eremicus (cactus mouse), 547 nucleotides long. RefSeq lists it as uncharacterized. The transcript has 3 exons. Lineage: Eukaryota; Metazoa; Chordata; Mammalia; Rodentia; Cricetidae. The record is from RefSeq and is a predicted model, not a curated record.
AAGACUGACUCCCUCCCCCAAGCAGCCACCAACUUCCAACUGUCUCCUCAGUCAAGAGUGGGGGCCAGGAGUACCUCUCUGAUCCAUGCUGGAAUUUUUUUAACCAACUUGAUCUUAUCUAGGUCUUGUUCAGCAAGAAAACAGAUGGAGAUGCCGGCAUCCUGAGGCCAUAAAGUAAGUGGCUAAUGAUGGGUGGACUGACCAGAAAUCGCUGCCAGAGGAGAAGCUGGAGACAAAGAAGAGGACUAUCUUUCCCUCCACAGUUCUCUGACUCUCCCAUGCCGACAGCACCCGUGUCCUCUGGCAAUCCCCCACAUCCAGCUGUCUCCCCGACUGUACCACUAAGCUUUUCCCAAAGGUGCAGGAAGAGUCUUCCCAGGUGCAUUCUUCAAGCACAGGGGGUCCAGGCCCCAGGAGCAACCGUCAGCCCAUGAGACAUAGUAGUCAGUGCCAUCUCACCCAUCCCUCAGUGGCUGGUUCUGAACCACACCUCCCGGCUUCCUCAGCACGGACCUUUUUGAUAAUGAACCUAUUUAUUUUCUCUGUC